UGGGGAAUCUUGGACAAUGGGGGCAACCCUGAUCCAGCCAUGCCGCGUGAGUGAUGAAGGCCUUAGGGUCGUAAAGCUCUUUCGCCUGUGAAGAUAAUGACGGUAGCAGGUAAAGAAACCCCGGCUAACUCCGUGCCAGCAGCCGCGGUAAUACGGAGGGGGUUAGCGUUGUUCGGAAUUACUGGGCGUAAAGCGCACGUAGGCGGAUCGGAAAGUUGGGGGUGAAAUCCCGGGGGGCUCAACCCCCGGGAACUGCCUCCAAAACUAUCGGUCUAGAGUUCGAGAGAGGUGAGUGGAAUUCCAAGUGUAGAGGUGAAAUUCGUAGAUAUUUGGAGGAACACCAGUGGCGAAGGCGGCUCACUGGCUCGAUACUGACGCUGAGGUGCGAAAGUGUGGGGAGCAAACAGGAUUAGAUACCCUGGUAGUCCACACCGUAAACGAUGAAUGCCAGUCGUCGGAUAGCAUGCUAUUCGGUGACACACCUAACGGAUUAAGCAUUCCGCCUGGGGAGUACGGUCGCAAGAUUAAAACUC
This 533-nucleotide ribosomal RNA is filed under the name uncultured bacterium. Its description in RNAcentral is "bacterial SSU rRNA". It matches the Rfam family "Bacterial small subunit ribosomal RNA", at positions 355 to 902 of the family's 1533-position model. The record is from RNAcentral.